This 492-nucleotide ribosomal RNA is filed under the name uncultured bacterium. RNAcentral's name for it is "partial 16S ribosomal RNA". It matches the Rfam family "Bacterial small subunit ribosomal RNA", at positions 29 to 507 of the family's 1533-position model. The record is from RNAcentral.
AGUGAACGCUGGCGGUAGGCCUAACACAUGCAAGUCGAACGGCAGCACAGUAAGAGCUUGCUCUUACGGGUGGCGAGUGGCGGACGGGUGAGGAAUACAUCGGAAUCUACUUUUUCGUGGGGGAUAACGUAGGGAAACCUACGCUAAUACCGCAUACGACCUACGGGUGAAAGCAGGGGAUCUUCGGACCUUGCGCGAUUGAAUGAGCCGAUGUCGGAUUAGCUAGUUGGCGGGGUAAAGGCCCACCAAGGCGACGAUCCGUAGCUGGUCUGAGAGGAUGAUCAGCCACACUGGAACUGAGACACGGUCCAGACUCCUACGGGAGGCAGCAGUGGGGAAUAUUGGACAAUGGGCGCAAGCCUGAUCCAGCCAUACCGCGUGGGUGAAGAAGGCCUUCGGGUUGUAAAGCCCUUUUGUCGGGAAAGAAAAGCAGCAGGUUAAUACCCCGCUGUUCUGACGGUACCCAAAGAAUAAGCACCGGCUAACUUCGUG